Long non-coding RNA from Oncorhynchus tshawytscha (Chinook salmon), 1010 nucleotides. NCBI's taxonomy places the organism in Eukaryota, Metazoa, Chordata, Actinopteri, Salmoniformes, Salmonidae. The record is from Ensembl.
AGUACACCAGUGAAAUGAGGAGCACUAUCUCCCUACCAGCACAUUUCCACUGAGUGAGAGAGAGAGAAUAAGGGAAGGAGAAAUAAGGCGAAAGGUGUGUUACUACAGUUAGCUAGCUGGCUAUGGCUAUCUAACAUUGGAACUCGUCAAGAUUGACAAAAAGAGCGUGAUCAUUUGUGUACAGCUGCAACCUCAACACCAGCUUUGUCAUCACUGUGAACCUCAGUAAAGACAGCCCAACCAUGGAUCAGAAAAUCAAUGAAUGCCCCACCACCACCUCCCCCCAGAAACAGAUGAAGAGUAGGUCCAAAUCCACCGAUGAGAUCCAGCACACCAAGAGGCUUUCAUCACAGAAAUCCCUUCCCGGUGGGUCUGACCUGGACAAAGUCAAGGAAGGCCCAGAAGGUUCUGAGACUCCCUCGUCCUCCACAGAGGAGCUGAAGUGAUGACGGCUGGGGUCCCUAAGGGAAAUAAGGCCAUGAACCUUCCAUCUGCUCAUUAAACAUGAACACAUACUGUACACACACAUAGACUCACAUACACACACACACACACACACACAGUCACAUCCCUACACACACUGAAAAAUGCAAACACUGAAUUGAUAAACUGAGUUGGUGGAAAGUCAUGUGAUAGACAUUAAUUCUGAAUGGUUAAGUUAAGGGUUAGGAUUUGGGAUAGGUUUAAAACAAAACAUUUAAAAUGUGUUUCUACCACUGGGAGAUAACAUGUAGCAUUCGGAUUCAGGGUCAUGGUAUUAUGUCCAUUAUGUCUCAUGGGAUUAUGUCCACACCGCUGUAGCAAAACCCAAGCCUACUUGUUAGUAAUAGUGCUCAUUUUGAAGUCAAUCUGCAGCGAUCUGCCUACACACACACACACACACACACACAAUGACAACAAGAACACAAGAAAUGGGCACAUGUGGUGAUCCUGUAUCAUUGUACUGUGAGUUAUCUGUACAUACCAAACUGAAUGUGCAUUCUUCACAAUAAAGCAGUGCUGUUGAGUGG